RNAcentral lists this long non-coding RNA (609 nucleotides) under Neogobius melanostomus (round goby). Its description in RNAcentral is "lncRNA (ENSNMLG00000005070.1)". The record is from RNAcentral. Lineage: Eukaryota; Metazoa; Chordata; Actinopteri; Gobiiformes; Gobiidae.
GCCAAGUGUAAAGCUAAAUAUAUCAAAAAUAUUCAAAUCCCCAAGGAAACCACGCCCACUGCAGUGGCUUCAAAUCAUGGGCACCGCCCUCACCCACGGUGGGCCAAUAUGGUCAUGCUCGGCACUUUUUUUCUCUGCAAAGGCAAGCGCAGGACACCAUCGAUCGUCUCUAGGUUGAAACCAGGAGGAUACUUCGGAGGAACUACAGACUGCAGAGGUCCAGCUGAGAGAGGACCGUGAAAAACUUCAACAAGAACAUGAACAGCAGCGUGUAAGCCUUCAAGAACAGCUUAAUGUUACCACUUCCAGUAUUUUGAAAAGCACUCAAGAAGAGCUGAACCAGUGCAGACGUCACUCAUGCGGCGAUGUGCAACAAUACCUGCAGGAUAGUCUCAAAGCACUGGAAGAAAGAGGAAUGACACAGCAGUGGAUGCUUGUGCAAAAGUAAAGGAGCAGACCCAGGAACUGAGAGUUCAGCUGACACCUUUAAGGGAGGAGAUACAAAAACUCACGCACCAGAAAGUUUGUUUGGAUGAAAAACUUAAGCUAAUCAGUUUCCAAAGAAAAGAGAAGAUGGGGCAAUACAAGGUAUGCAACUUUGUAAAAUUU